RNAcentral lists this ribosomal RNA (551 nucleotides) under Gastrolina depressa. Its description in RNAcentral is "partial 12S ribosomal RNA". The record is from RNAcentral. Lineage: Eukaryota; Metazoa; Arthropoda; Insecta; Coleoptera; Chrysomelidae.
UAUUAAUUGUUUAUUUUAAAUUAAAAAUAAAAACUUAUUAAGUAAAAUUUUAUAUUUUUAUUUUAAUUUAAUUAUUUAUAUAAAGUUAAGAAUUUUAGACUAUUAAACUAGGAUUAGAUACCCUAUUAUUUUAAAUGUAUUUAUAAAUAUUAAAUUAUUAAUAGCUAAGUUCUUUAAAAUUUAAAAUUUUGGCGGUAUUUUAAUCUUUUCAGAGGAACCUGUUUUGUAAAUGAUAGUCCACGAGUUUAUUUACUUUUAAUAUUAAUUUGUAUAUCGUUGUAGUUAAAUAUUUUUUAAAAAUUUAAAUGUUUAUAAUUUUUUAUUAAAAAAUUUUUCAAAUCAAGGUGCAGUUUAUUUAAUAGUAAAAAUGGGUUACAAUAAAUUUAUUUUUGGAUAUUAAUUUUUAAAUUUAAUUUAAUUUGGAUUUGAAAGUAAUUUUAAUUAAAUAAUUAAUUUGAUUUAAGCUCUAAAAUAUGUACAUAUCGCCCGUCGCUUUCAUUAUUUGAAAUAAGUCGUAACAAAGUAGAUUUACUGGAAAGUAAAUCUAGAUU